RNAcentral lists this ribosomal RNA (628 nucleotides) under uncultured fungus. Its description in RNAcentral is "eukaryotic LSU rRNA". It matches the Rfam family "Eukaryotic large subunit ribosomal RNA", at positions 23 to 664 of the family's 3401-position model. The record is from RNAcentral. Lineage: Eukaryota; Fungi.
ACCCGCUGAACUUAAGCAUAUCAAUAAGCGGAGGAAAAGAAACUAACAAGGAUUCCCCUAGUAACUGCGAGUGAAGCGGGAAAAGCUCAAAUUUGAAAUCUGGCGGCUCCGUCGCCCGAGUUGUAUUCUGGAGAAGCGUCUUCCGCGUCGGACCGUGUACAAGUGCCUUGGAACAGGACGUCAUAGAGGGUGAGAAUCCCGUCUUUGACACGGACGCCCGAUGCUCUGUGAUGCGCUCUCGAAGAGUCGAGUUGUUUGGGAAUGCAGCUCAAAACGGGUGGUAAAUUCCAUCUAAAGCUAAAUAUUGGCGAGAGACCGAUAGCGAACAAGUACCGUGAGGGAAAGAUGAAAAGCACUUUGGAAAGAGAGUAAAACAGUACGUGAAAUUGUUGAAAGGGAAACGCUUGAAGUCAGUCGCGUCUGCCGGAACUCAGCCUUGCUUCUGCUUGGUGCACUUUCCGGCCUGACGGGCCAGCAUCGGUUUCGAGCGGCGGACAAUGGCGAGGGGAAGGUGGCAGCUCCGGCUGUGUUAUAGCCCCUCGUCGCAAACGCCGCACGGGACCGAGGAAUCCGGCGCAAGCCUGGGAUGCUGGCGUAAUGGCUUUAAACGACCCGUCUUGAAACACGG